UGGAAAAUAACAUCCAUCCACAGAUGAAUGG
This 31-nucleotide non-coding RNA is filed under the name Homo sapiens (human). The record is from RNAcentral. Lineage: Eukaryota; Metazoa; Chordata; Mammalia; Primates; Hominidae.